RNAcentral lists this ribosomal RNA (2608 nucleotides) under Triticum aestivum (bread wheat). RNAcentral describes it as "partial small subunit ribosomal RNA". The record is from RNAcentral. Lineage: Eukaryota; Viridiplantae; Streptophyta; Magnoliopsida; Poales; Poaceae.
GGAUUUCUCCAGACAGUUGUGGUUUCGUCAGGUUCAGAGCGUCAGUGUCCUGACAGGCUGCCGGCGGCACGGCCCAGCUGUCCGCUUCCCCGUCGUCCUGGCUCACCCGUCAGGUUCCCCCGCUUUCCAGUCCCGCGUCUCCGCCGCAGAUGGUGCUCCAGCGCCUCCGCGCCAUGCCCACGUCCGGCAGGCUUAAGAUCCUGGUGGCGCCGCCGUCGUCGACAUGCCGUUCUGCGGUGCGACGAACGUCGCCGCCUCCGUCGCUAGUGCCUCGCCCGCACCAAGAUCCCAUCGCCGGCUGAGACGAGACGACUCUAUGCCUCUAUGCACGCUGCAUUGACUGAGCCAGCGGCACAGCAACUUGCCCGAAGAACGGCGGCUCCAAAGUCUGCACGCGCUGCCUUGACCACCAGACCAGCGGCAGGGCAACUUGCCUGCAGAAUGUCAAUGGUACGGGCGUACGGUAUACUGGGCAUGGUAUGAACAAAUCAACGCCUCAUCAUGCGGUCCAUCCAUUCAAAUAUGACGGGUAAAUCAAGCUUACACAAAUUGUCUACAUGAAAAUAGCGCAAAGGUUGACUUGCGGCCAUGUUGAUUGGCACCCAGUCUCGGGACUGAGAUAUCAACAUGUGCCAAGAGCUCAAGAUACCUCCAAACCUCUGAAUCCAUUGCAUCUAUCCGGCUAGUGGCAGAGUAGAUAGAGGCAUAGAGUGUUUGACUGGACUACACCAUCCAUUCCACCCACAUGGUAUGAACGCAUGCCUUCCACUUGAUGAUGAACACAAAGUAUGAACUCGUAGGUGAAGGUCAAGGCAGCUGGGUGCGCGCGCGCACCUCCGUGAGACAUGGAAGUCCUCUCUGGAACACAUAUAAGCAUACGAAUCCCGGGGCCAGGAGGCAUUCCUCAUCAUUUACCAACGUGACCUCUGUCUAGCUAGCUGGAGAGGAUGGCGCUUGUUCCCCGGUCGUCCCUGCGCUCCCUGGUGCUGCUCGUGUCCCACGGGAAGCCACGGCUGAGCUCUUUCUUCUCCUCCGCCGCCGCCACACCGGCCGCCCCAGGAGCUGAUAAUCUUCCGGCUGCUCCGGCCGUCCACCCCCCAGCUCCGACAGGCCGUUCAUGCCCCAAGCUCCCUGUGGAGGAAGAGUUUGCUCUUCACCCAAUUCCUGGGGGUCCACGUCCACAUCCACGACCACGUCCGCGCCCAUGUGGAGCCGCUAAAGAUGCAAGUGUAACCGACAAUGCUUUGCUGAACGCCCCUGAAGAUCCUUGUACAUACCCGGAUCCUGAUCGUGGUUCUGAUGGCAUCUUUGAAGAUCCCCGACACCCAGUUCCUGAUCCAUCAGGUAGGGGGCGUAGCGCCGUAACCGAUGAGCCUGCUCAGUGCACCCAGGAGCACCCUAAGUACCCAGUAACCGAUAGUUCAACUGACAAGGGCCCUGCUGUGGAACAUCCUGCAUACACAACUCCUGGUUAUGGUUCAUGUAGCACACCUGAGCCUAUGCCUGAUAAGCCUCCCUGCGGCACCUCCGAGGAUGUGAAACAACGAGAUGUUGAUCCACCGCCUCCCGCGCGUGAAGGUGUUGGACACCGAGUUGUCGAUCCACCACGCGGGGGCAGGGGGCGUCGCGCUGUGCCCGACGAGCCAGAGCAGUGCGCCCAGGAGCAUCCCAAGUACCCAGUUCCUGACAGUUCAAGUGACAAGGUCUUCUCCUCCUGCUCCUCCGCCGUUCCGCCGCUGGCUCCAGGAAGUUGCACCCCGGCUGCCCCCGACGUUCAGCCUCCAGUCACCCCAGCUCCGCCAAAUCGUUCAGGCCACAAGCUCCCUGAUCACGAAGAGUCUGUUUUCAACCCACUUCCUGAUCCACCAUCAGGUCACAGGCUUAGCCCUGUAAUCGAAGAGCCUGCCCGGUGCACCCUGGACAACCCCAAAUACCCAACUCCUGAUCAUGCUUCAUGUAGCCCAUCUGAAGGUGUAUCUGCGGACUUGUUGGAAGAUCCUCUGCAUCGGGUGCCUGAUCCACCACGUAGGCCCUAAUGAAUCGACGCAGUGCAGCCAGGAGCAUGAGCAUCCUCAGCACCCAGCUCUGGGCAGUUCCAAGUGACGACAUCUUUCAGACACCUUCUGACAGGAUCACGAACCGGGGUUAUAAAGCUACGUCCUGCAAGCGCUGGGUCACUGAGAAGAUAGCGAGCACCUAAUUAAGCUGAUACGAACUAGGAGAAAAAAUUGGCAGCUUUCCCUGGCUUCUGCCCGUGCUGGUCUGUAUACUGUAGACUCGUAAUUUUGUUGCGAUGAAUCCUUGUGUUGUGAGCAGAGAAAAAUCUCGGUGGUUACUGGCUAGUUACUGCUGCGAUCUUGUUGUAAUCCCAAUACAUGCUUUCAAGGAAAAAGAGUUAUGGUUGAGCCCCGGCUGCACUGCCUAUCAGCACAUACAAAUACACAUUCAUCUAAAAAAUGCAUUGCAUUUCAUACACACUCACAUUCACUUUAAUUGUCCAUGGUCAACACAUACAACGAAGUACUUGAAUCUCGGGCUGUGGGCGGCGGCGGCAAGGCGGCUCGGCCCUCUGGAGUGGCGAUUUCCAUUUGCCGCGCCGGCAUCAUAG